RNAcentral lists this ribosomal RNA (379 nucleotides) under Synxenoderus comosus. RNAcentral's name for it is "partial 16S ribosomal RNA". The record is from RNAcentral. Lineage: Eukaryota; Metazoa; Arthropoda; Insecta; Hemiptera; Cimicidae.
CCUUUUGUUAUUUAUUUAAGGUCCGGCCUGCCCAAUGAUUUUUAAAUGGCCGCGGUAUCCUGACCGUGCAAAGGUAGCGUAAUCAUUUGUUUUUUAAUUGGAAACCAGUAUGAAUGGUCAUACGAGAGAUUAACUUUCUUUAUUUUAUUAUAUUGAAUUUUAUUUUUAUGUGAAAAAGCAUAAAUUUUGUUAUUAGACGAUAAGACCCUAUAAAACUUUAUUGUUUAAUAUUUACUUAUUAUUACUAGAUGUUAAUUUGUUAGGUAUUGAAUAAUUCUACUGGGGCGGUAGGUAAAUUUUUUUAACUUUAUUUUUAAUAUUUCACUAAUGAGUGUUAAGUUGAUCCAAUAUUUAUUGAUUAAAAGAUUAAGUUACUUUA